UACGUAGGGGGCUAGCGUUGUCCGGAUUUAUUGGGCGUAAAGAGCGUGUAGGCGGCCAGAUAGGUCUGCUGUGAAAACUCGAGGCUCAACCUCGAGAUGUCGGCGGAAACCAUUUGGCUAGAGUCCGGAAGAGGAAAGUGGAAUUCCUGGUGUAGCGGUGAAAUGCGCAGAUAUCAGGAAGAACACCCGUGGCGAAGGCGGCUUUCUGGGACGGUACUGACGCUGAUGCGCGAAAGCUAGGGGAGCAAACGGG
This 253-nucleotide ribosomal RNA is filed under the name uncultured bacterium. Its description in RNAcentral is "partial 16S ribosomal RNA". It matches the Rfam family "Bacterial small subunit ribosomal RNA", at positions 524 to 776 of the family's 1533-position model. The record is from RNAcentral.